AUGUCUUCUAAUUGUGGUGAGUUUUCUCAUGAAUACUAUGUGAUACAUGAUUUAUUGCAUGAUCUAGGACGUACCGUUUCCAACAAGGAAUGUAUCAGAAUUUCCAGCGAUGAUUAUGGUAGUAUUCCAAGAACAGUUCGCCAUGCAAUACUUACCGUGGUAAAUCAUACAUCGUUUACGGAUUUCUCUGCACUAAAGAAACUGCUUAUAUCAUUUGAUGAAACAAUAAUGAAAAGGGAUCAAUGGAUUGUACUGGAAAAAGUGCUAAAAGUAGCAACAAAAUUACGGGUUUUGCGUGUACACAGGUCCUCGCUUUUCAAGCUGCCUGAUGCCUUUGGUAAUCUAACGCUGUAUCAUUCGGAACUGCAUAAGGAAGUGGCAAAAUAUUCAUUUUGGUGUCCUUGCUCUAUAUACAAGUUAUAUCAUCUCCAAAGGGUAGAGUUAAAUAAAUGUUUGUUGGUAUCCUGUAGACUGCAAAAAUUGGUGAAUCUGAGAUAUCUAUUCUUUUCGGGUUAUCUAAUUGGAUUUCCGCCUAACUUUGGACACUUAACUUCUCUUCAAGAGUUAAAUGUUAUUUGUGUCCCACCCCGCUAUGGUUUCCUGGCACGUGAGCUUGAGGAUCUAAAAGGUCUCCGCAUUUAUAUGCUAGUGGGCUUGAGAAUGUCAGUGCACAAGAAGGAACUACUGCUAAGCUGGGUUCUCCGGCUGGCGGCUGAGGUGUGGCUAGGCAGUGCGGCUGUGGUGCGGGCUGCGUUUGGGUUCGGCCCGGCAGCUCGUCCAGGAGGGAUUCGGGACGGGGUGGCAGCCCUCCCCCCCGGCUCCGGUGUUGCAGCGAGGAUCUGCGGCUUCGUGGCAAUACAACGCAAGGUGGGUGCCAGAUCUGCGGUUGCCGGGGCGGUGGCCCUGGAUUUGGUGGUGGCGGCUUCGGCCAGGGGGUGGUGCGUGCCUGGACGUGGCGGAUCGGGGGAUCCUGCGGCCAGUUGGAGUCAGACGGCGUGCCUUGGUGCUCUACGAGGUUUGGUGGGCGGCAGUUUGUGGCCGGCCGGUUCGGGCAGUUGGUGGACGAGCUUCACCGGGAGAAAUCCUAUCUCCGGCCUUUGCCGGAUGCGGCGGCGGUGA
RNAcentral lists this ribosomal RNA (1119 nucleotides) under Triticum aestivum (bread wheat). Its description in RNAcentral is "partial small subunit ribosomal RNA". Lineage: Eukaryota; Viridiplantae; Streptophyta; Magnoliopsida; Poales; Poaceae. The record is from RNAcentral.